RNAcentral lists this ribosomal RNA (466 nucleotides) under Pseudopyrenula subgregaria. RNAcentral describes it as "mitochondrial SSU rRNA". It matches the Rfam family "Bacterial small subunit ribosomal RNA", at positions 386 to 866 of the family's 1533-position model. The record is from RNAcentral. Lineage: Eukaryota; Fungi; Ascomycota; Dothideomycetes; Trypetheliales; Trypetheliaceae.
ACUUGGGUGAAUGUAUUCUUAUUGUAAUUUUUAUAAGUUUAUAAAGGUUAAAUUAAGAACUCAAAACUUUUGAUUAUAGUUCUAGAUAAAAUAUUGAUAAUGACAAAGUUUUAUCUAUAUGUCUUGACCAAAUCUUGUGCCAGCAGUCGCGGCAACACAAGGAAGACAAGUGUUAUUCAUCUUAAAUCGGUUUAAAGGGUACCUAGACAGUAAAUUAUGCCUUAAUUGGAACGUUUUUACUAGAGUUAUAUAUGCGUGAGGAAUGUGUGAGUAUUACCAGAGUAGAGAUGCAAUUUUUUAAUACUGUUAAGACUGGUAAAGGCGAAAGCAAACCUUUAUAUAUUAACUGACGUUGAGGGACGAAGGCUUGGGUAGCAAACAGGAUUAGAUACCCUAAUAGUCCAGGCAGAGAAUUAUGAAUGCCAUAAAAUGCAUUAAAUGCUUUUUAUAAAUGAAAGUGUAAGCA